CCUAAAACACCUCAAGUAGAACACCUGACCGGCAGCCAAUCAGAGCCAUCUAACCUAGGGCUGACUCCGCCUCAGCCUCAGCCCACGCCAGAGGACACAGGGGUCUACAUGAGCUCCAUACUGCUCCAGGGUGAGACCACCUCUCAGAAGAGACGCUAUUCUUUUCUUUUGGACUUAAAGCAUGAAGGCUCCCAGGCUGAGCUGGCAGCCGGGCCACCAUGCAAAGAUGUUUUUCUGGAAGUUGCACCCUCUUGGAGAAAAGCAGAGCCUCUUUACCAAGGGAGUUGUGAUCUCCUGGGUCCAGCUGUGCUUGAAGCAAGUGUCGCUGGACCUCCAAUUAUGUGAGCUAACACUUGGCUUUUUCUUGCUAAAACCAAUUUGAGUUCUUUGGGUAUAUAGGGUGCGCAUGCUGGGCUCCGGCCUGACACUUCCGAUCCAGGAGGCCUGCAGGAUGGGUCCCCCUCAUGUACUCUCUCCCCAAACUUCUGCCUCUUCCGUGCUGCAGGGGAGCCCGCUGCAUGGUGGACUUGGUGUCUUCUGAGGCGGUGGUGUGAAGAUUUGGCUUCCUGGUGCUUCCUUGCAGUGAGGGGGGACUGAGGGUUCAGUCUCGGCUUCUAUUGAUGAGGAUGCUGCAAAAUCUGGAGCUGCCAGUCUCCCAGACUCUCAGAAGGGAACAAACACCACUGGGCCCUGAAUCCAGCUUCCCUGGAUCUUGGAUCCCCAGCCUGAAGCAGCAGGGGCACCCACAGCAUGGGUGUCCAGGGAAUGCCUGUCUCAACCAUACCCAACUCUUACAGGAGACUCCCGGUACAGGUGGAGCAGAUGGCUAUGGUGGCCAGGGACAAAGGCACAGUGACCUGGAGCCCCACAUUCCAGCUGUGCCCUAGAGAGUGUCAAGGGCACACUCUUAGUAGAUAAGGCACAGAGCCAGCCUAGUCUUAAGCAGGCCAAGGAUAGAGCCUGUGAGGCUGUCUGUACAGGCCCUGGGCUUCUAGUGAGUGGCUUAGGGCUCUAAAUGGUCACACCCAUCUUACCAGAGUGAUCUCUCCCUGGGAGGUACAAGACGUCCAGCUGGAAUGCUGUGCCAGCUGUGCUGACACAACAGGUGUGUCGCCGUGUGCCAAGCUCUAUGCUGGUACUAAAAAGACGAAGAAAAGGCUGUCUCCACUGCAACCCUGCAGCAGAUCCUCAGGGCGAGUGGCCCCACUCACCCAAGCACACCUCAACAGAGGAGGGCUCUAGGGGUCCUUUGGGUGCCUGCAUCACACUGGCACUGGCUGGGUGUUGUGACAAUGUCAUCAAGGACUGUUCGUGUGGAUGAGAGCGUCCCUAAGAUAAUCCAGUUCUGAGCUGACAACAACUAGAGAGAGAGACACCAUGCCGUUCCGUCACCGCCGUGCUUACAUGGCUGACGCCGGGGCUGCCUGUCCUCACUGAGGACAUCUUUUCGCCUCAGAUGACAAGCAGAGGUGAGUCAUUGCCAUCCCGGGGUGAGAUGUUCUGUCACAGAAUGUUCUCCAUGGUUAGGCAAAGGCGAGCCUGCCAGGAACCAUUUUCCUCAUCAACUUGAUAGAAGCGGCACUGACGAGCCGUGCGCCUGGGAGUGUGCCGAAGAACGUGUGCCCAGCUGCAGACGGGAGCUAGGUAGGAGCAGCCUAGCCUGCUGCCCUCUGUAGUGCUCAACCAAUUAUUCUUUGAUAGAUAUGUGUUAUAUAUUACACACACACACACACACACACACACACACACACACGCGCGCGCGCGCGCGCGCGCGACUCCCAGACCCACCACGUGACUAUUUCAUUAUUCUUUGCUUUAGAAGAGUGAAAAAGAGAAAGGGAAGGAAGGAGGAAAAGGAGACCCAGGAACUUUGUAUCCCCUCACCCACUUCCCAUAGGUCACCUUGAGUAGGAGGUCACUUAGCAAAUUAGUAUGAUGCCUGUGUUGUACGAAGCGUGGAGUUCCUGAACCUCAGUUACACGCAGGCUUGGACAGGCUUGUCUGGAUGGGAGCUCCCUCCAUCCCCUCUCGUCCUGUUCAGGUGCCAUCACUAGACUCUACUGCCUUCGUGGUACCCUCUUGUCCCCACUUGUCAAGACCAGUUCUCAGGAUCUUCGUGUACCUCUUACAGGUCCUGGAGCUACCUCAGCAGGAGCUGCAUGCAGCUAUGAUGUGGAGCUCAACACAGCCACGACUGUUUUGUUCUUUUUUUCUUCUAGUGUGUCUUUUUUAUUUAUUUUUUAUCAGCUUCUCUAAGGCUUUGUAUUUUAUGUCACAAGUUUAAUUUCUUAAUUUCUUGCUCACUUUGUCAGCUGUCAUUGUUCGUCCUGGGGAUGGGAUGAAAAUGCAAUAACUACUGGAGGGAGUCACACAGUCCACAUUUCUUGUGCCCCCACAUUGUCAGCAGGGACAAUCUGGCCCCACAGGCCACCAGCAGGACCUGGCAGUUAUUCUCCCAAGGACAGAAGCAGGAGCCAAGGCCACGGGCACCUUCUUUUCUCACAGGGUCAACUAACCCUGUUGAACCCAAAGGGAGAAAUUUGCGUGGUGGGGAUAAGAAAAGCCAAGGAGCUGCGGUGAGUCUGUCUUCUGUCCCUGGGGAUGUAUGGCUGUAAGCUCUCGAGCAGAACAGGAGCUGAGACCACUGUUCCCUUCUACAGCUUGAUCUCUGGACUGUGACUGGAACCCAUGUGGGCUCUCCAAGCCACUGUCCUGAGGACUAUUCAAGGGACACAAGUGGGGUCCCUUAACUUAGAUGGACUCGUGUUUGUUAAGCACAGUUUGAACCUCUGUCCACCUGUGUGAUGUUCCAUUUGGACCAAGACUGCUUCCUGUCCUGGAUUCUUCUUUGCCAGAAUCAUGGGAGAUGCCCUGUCAGUCAACGGGCGCUGAGAAUCAUGGGAGAUGCCCUGCCAUCCAACGGGUGCUGAGAAUCAUGGGAGAUGCCCUGCCAUCCAACGGGUGCUGAGAAUCAUGGGAGAUGCCCUGCCAGUCAAUGGGUGCUGAGAAUCAUGGGAGAUGCCCAGCCGUCCAAUGAGUGCUGAGAAUCAUGGGAGAUGCCCUGCUAUUCAAUGGGUGCUGAGAAUCAUGGGAGAUGCCCUGUCAGUCAAUGGGUGCUGAGAAUCAUGGGAGACGCCCUGCCGUCCAAUGGGUGCUGAGAAUCAUGGGAGACGCCCUGCCGUCCAAUGGGUGCUGAGAAUCAUGGGAGACGCCCUGCCGUCCAAUGGGUGCUGAACUGAUUCUACAUGGCUCUCUCUCACCUAGAUGUGUUGGGUGGUUGGGAGGGGUAGGGUUGACAGCUGCCUGAUGUGCCUCUCUGAGUCUAUACCCAGCACCCACUCCAGUCCUGCUCUAGAGUCACAGAAAACACAGGAGUUACUGGAUAGUCAGUCGGUAGUGAUGCUGGGGACACACAUUUUGUAGUGUUUGAUGGAGAAAUUCAGCUAAGGAGAUCCAGGUGACUGGGGGAGGGAAGGCUCUGGUGUCAUGUCAGCAGUCCCUUGUCUCUCAUGGCAGCUGAGCUGACAUCUUGAACAAGCUGGUCUCUUUAGAACAAACUGCACAAACCUGAGACUCUGGUCCAAGAACAAAGAGAAACGAGCCCCAGAGCCACAUCCAGGAAGCCCACAGCCCAGAGGGGAAGAGUCUGAGAUAAUGAAGACAGGCCAGCAUCAGCUAUGCUCAGGUGGCAGCAUGCUGGGGCAGGUCCUGUGGCCAGGAACCACUCUUGCCAUCAUCCUGGUGACUGUCAAGGGCCCCAGCUUGAACAAGAUUUUUAUGUGAUUACCUUUGUUCCAGUGUAUCACAAAAAAGUCCACAGGGGUGCCCCCUCUCUUCAGAAAACAGACCACAAAAUGCCCAUCUUCCUACUCAAAUGAAUUAAAAGAGACUUCAUUUUCCCAGAGGACUCUUUUUUUUUUCUCUCUUUUAAUUGCAAUAAAAGAAAGCCUGUAAUUUGCCAGACCACACUGCUAGCCCCCUCCUCCAGUGCCAGUGUGCUGGCCGCACGAUCAUGCUUCUUUUACAAAAUGAGGCUUCGUCUCAGGCACACACCAGGGCUUGGAACAAAGUGCCCUUUAGAGCUCCGGAGCCCGAGCAACAGUGCCGUGGCUGACGCACAGCCAGGCGGAUGGCAGCGUGGUGCAGAUGGAGGGUGCCCACCCGCUGGCUGUGUCGCCCCUGGGCUUCUGGAAAGUGGCUGGCGGAGGAAACAACAGAUGGGAAGGCUGGUGCUCUGCUCCUCAGAAGAGCAAUUCUUGCUUCUGGCGGGAGGAAGGUGGGGUGCCCCUACCCCAACAGGGGCAUGCACCUGUGCAGAGGGUCACUGAGCAGCUGACGUGAGGAGAACAAGGGUGACGUCACCAGUGACGGCUGAAGAGGGACCGUCAUGAAGUACGACCUGAGAGGGAAGAAAAGGUCUGUGAGGGGACACUCAAGGUGAGAGCCGCCCUCCCCACCCCAGGACAUUUUCAACGUGGAAAGCAAAUGGAGACGUGGGAACAGUGAUUCACAACGCUAAAUGGUGCCUGAGUUAAGCAGGGGAGGGCACUUGCCUGCGGUGUGGGUUGUCAGUGUUUUCAAGAGGAUCCGCUGCCCCGAAGUCCUUUGUGUCCUUUGCUCACUGGGGUUCAUCUUGUGCAAGGAGACAAAGCAGGUUAUGGGUGGGUUCUGGGGGGUUGGAAACUGCAAGUGUUCCAUUAGGAGGCAGCCACCAGCUCCCUGCCGUCUCCCUGCCUAGGACAGAGCUGGUUAAGUAAGAGAGAGCUUAAAAAACUCUCAUGCCGUUGUCAAAUAAAGCAACCAUGACUUCAGGUCCUAUAAUGGCUGCCCCUCCUCCCUGCUCACCAAGGGACCAACCCCAGGUCCUCACUAAGACCUUGUCUGCUCAACACAUGAGCGGGGACAGCUCUCCAGAGUCCAAGCAGGCCAGCCCUGCUCUCUUACCCUAAAGGAGAGGUGACACAGCUCCAAGCAUUGUCACCAAAACCCAAUAAAACCCAGGACUUAGAACCUCAAGAAGGAUUCUGCUGCUGAGCUGACCCGGGUGGACCCUGUCAUUCAUAGUACCGUGCUUGCUUUUUGCUGGAGGCCUCUGUAAGGGGCCACUUCGUCUCCUCAGCACCACUGUGGUAGAGCGCCCCCACCAGCAGGUGUGAACACUGUCUGUCACUUCGCUGCUGCUGGGUUCCAUCUUUUGUUGAUAUUUGAAGGAAGACGAUGCUGUUUGCUUCCAUCCGUUGGACUCAGCGGUACAUGCUGCUCCUGUGGUCGUACACAUCCAAUGUCUCUAGGACCCCAGUCCUAUCCUCACUCUGCUAGAUUAUCAUCUAAAGGACCAGGAUGGCCAGGGCAUUCGAGAUGGGGUUGGGUGUUGGAGUGACAGUUCCCAGGGAAGGGGAAACUGAAUCUCUCUUAGAAAGAGAUCUGGAUGGGUCGGUCAGAUGAUGGAAUCUGGCUUCAGCUCUCCUUGAGGUAUAGUCAAGUUGUCUAUCCAUGUUGGAUUCUGUCCCCAUCUCUGUGGAAAUGGGAAGGGCUGAACAGGCACGAUGCCAUCUUAGGACCUAAGGAGACAACUUCUUUUAAUACGUGGAAUUGGCUAGUUUUGUUUAUAAGUAAAGAGAGAUGUGGAAGAAGUGGUACCCAAGCCACUUCAAGACCCCCAUUCGGGGCAGGAUAGAGUUGCUGCAGUCACUCAGAGCCACCCAGGCCUCCUGCAGAGCCAUCUGUGACAUUCCAUGUUCCUGGUGACUAAGGUCCUAGGGGACUCUGUGCAGAGGGGGUCUGAUGGCCUGAGCAGGAAGUGGGGGUUGUAUGUAGAUGUUGAGACAGAGGAGAAGAAGGCCACCGAGGGCUUUCUGCCUGGGCAUGUUAGAUCUGCUUCUAGACAGCUGUGUGUGCCCUCCCCUGUGCAGAGGCGAAAACUGAGGCACACAGAGGUCACAAAGCUGACAACAUGGGAUGUCACUCAGCGAUGGAUCCUCAAAGGAGACCCUGUGGCCACCAAGGCAAGGCUGACUUCAGCUUCCAGAUGUCCAGAUACCUACGUCUCCCCCGAGAGUCCCAUGAUACUUGCCUUGUGUUUCAGGAAAGCCAAAGAUAAGCAUGUACCUGUUACAUGUGGGUCUAGUCCUUGUACCCAUGAGUACAUGGGCAAAGGAGCUGGGCCAUGUCACUGCUGGCAAAAGAUUUUUUCUUUCUUCUGUAACUCUAAGCACCUAAGGAAUGCUGCGGUCACACAAGCCAGUUCAUUUAUUAGGAUAAAACCACAAGGAAAUGACCUUGUUCAGGGACCUUGGGCAUGGCCUCUGCUGGGAAUGGAAUGGCAAUAAGUUGACUCCUCGUCCCAGUGAGUGACAGGGAAGGCCUGGGGCACAGGGCACAGCCGGGCAUGCCGCUCCCUUUUGAGAAGUCCUGAGAGUCAGGGCCUGAAGGCACACAACUGGGUCGCAGGAAGUGGAUCUCUGGGUCUGUAAGUCUGUCUAGAAGCCAGCAAGUCGCCCCCAAUCCCAGGCUGGACCUCUGCCCACCUUGAAUUCCUGCUUUCUAAGCCUCAGCUUCUUCGUUUGCUGCCAACACCUGGGCAGAUUUUCCGAUGCUCCAGGCCUUCCUCACUGGUCUGGGCCACCUCCCAGACCCCGGGAUGUCACAGAAGUACCAAGACAUGUUUCCUACUUUGUACCUCCAAGAUGCAAUACAAACUCUCCAGUGCACACGUCUCUGGUGGCUCUGCACCCUGCUCUUCUUUUUCUGUGAGGACACUAGGCAGAUUGGAUCAGAUGCUCCCCCCUCCCUCUACAGGGACUCUAGGUUACCUGAAUUACCCACAAAAGCCCUGUGUCCAGAGUCAUCUUUGGAUUCCUGGUAAAUCAGAGGAACAAAGGAAUUACAAAUUACAGGAAUGGAAAGAAAGCCACGCCACAGACUCGCCCCGGGGGCUUCUCCAGCUGGCGUGGGAGCUGUCCGUGAAGCUGAAUCCUUCAGCCUUCCCAGACUCAGCCAGGGUCAUCGGGAGUCAGGGCUCCCUGCAGCUCCCAGCCACAGAGCCAACUCCACAUGUGAUAACAAACAGUUUAAUUAACCUCUCGGCUUUUUCCAUCUGUGUGGCAGGGCUCCAAAUACUUGCCACUGGGAAGCCGUGAAUGGACGCCUUCCACCAGGACGGACCACAGCAAAGCUGCAAUGCCGUGUGCAGUGCGAAAGGAGAUGACUAUAGUCGGUAAGCACGGUCCUUGCAGAUGUGCCUCAUCCACACCCUUAGACACCCUGUGCACCCUCCUCAAUCCUGGGUAGAUCCCUCAAAGCUUCACCCACACAGUGCAGUGGUCUGUGGGGCCCAAGUCCUGGCCAGUUUUGACUUCCUCUUUCUGUAAGUAGGGGGGGUGCUGCUGGGUCCCCUUUCUCCAAGGCAGCAGGGUUCUCAGCGGGAAUCCAGCCUUAC
Molecule: long non-coding RNA, 7438 nt
Organism: Peromyscus californicus insignis
Lineage: Eukaryota; Metazoa; Chordata; Mammalia; Rodentia; Cricetidae
Exons: 3
Source: RefSeq, a predicted model, not a curated record